UGUUAUAAUGCAAAGCCUAUCAAACUUAAAAUUAGCUUAAUCCUGAAAGAUGUAUAUUGCAUAAUCAACCUGUCACUUUUUUCAAACACGAUUUGGGAGGGUAUUGAGGUCCCAUGUAAAUUUUAAAAUAAAAGACAAACAGGAACUAAUCUUUUAGUAAAAAUUAUUUUGUUUUCAUAUAGGAAAACAAUGCCUUCUGUCAUUUACGGAAAACACAUGGGCAAUAUGGUUGGUUGUUCAUUGUGCCCCUCUAUCCUAUAGGAAGAAUGUGAUCUUUUAAUUGUGCUUGGUGCUUUGUUUCUGGAGAUAUAUAUAUAUAUAUUAUAUAUAUGUAUAUAUACCAUAUGUAUAUAUACAUAUGUAUGUGUGUAUGUGUGUAUAUAUAUCUCUCUAGGUUGUAUGUAAUUCAAUAUGUUGGAAUUUAAAGAUGCAUUAUUAUUUGGAUUUGAUGUGAAAUUAGAUUGUGAAUAAUGGAGAUUGCUCUCCAUUUUUUGCUGUUCUAGCAUAGCCAAAAAUAUAAAGAUAUAGAUGUACAUAUACAUAUGUAUUUGAUUAAACACUUUAAAUUUUAAAUGGCCGCAUCAAAUUUUAAAUGGUAGAUGAUAUCAACAAUUGCAGUGCACUCAAAAUGUUAUAAAAUCUUUGUAGCACAAAUCCUGAAGUAUAUGCAAACUAAAUAGCAUAUUUAUAUAAAAUACCUAGAUAACAUGUCUAGGUUGAGAUAUUUAAUCCCUCAUAGAGCUAUAUUUGACUAAUAAAAAACGACAGCUAAAAAUAAUUUCCCUCCCUAUAAGUACAAAUAUGAUUUUUAAAGCAUCAUUGUAACUUGUCAUGAAGCUAUUUAUUAUUAAUUAAGGAUUUAACUCUGUACCCAUCUGCUCUUACAAAAGGGGAAAAAGAUUUAUCUAUGAGAAUAGGGAAGUAUAGCACUGUUUUAUGUUUUUCUCUUUAGUAUUCUGUCACCAUUUAAAGCUUCAAUAUAUGCCUUCCACUCAGGUUCCUGACACAGCCUACAUUCUCUUUUCUGGUUAUAAUCACAAUAUGGUAGAGCUAUAAACAAGGUAAAAAGGUGUUAACAAUUGAACUGCAAUCCUACCUAUUAUCUACUUUACUAUAGCAGUGAAGUAGUCCAGACUUAUUUGAAGGUGGUACUAUUUUUAUCUUACAAAAAUCUACUAUAAUAUUAAUAACUUUCCAUGUAAAUUUUCAUGUGCUGGCAUGCUUACAAGUUAAUAGUGUUAUAGAAUGCUCAGCUCUCAAUAUGAGGGGUUGUUUGUGGUGAAUUGCAUAACAUAUGUCAUCUAUUUGCUGAAAGAAUAUGCUGUUUAGCAAACUACCUGCUGAGCAACAUAAUAAGAUUUUUGUACAAGGUACAAAUUACUAAUUAUUGUAUUUUAUUUUUCUAUGAUUUCCUAAGAGGCAUUAUCAGGGUCUUACAGAUGGAGUAAGCCUGUUUAUUAAAAUAUCUAUUGGCAAAUAAAAGUUACAGCUUUGGUGGUUG
Molecule: long non-coding RNA, 1501 nt
Filed under: Homo sapiens (human)
Lineage: Eukaryota; Metazoa; Chordata; Mammalia; Primates; Hominidae
Description: non-protein coding lnc-ARL6-1:2
Source: RNAcentral